Molecule: ribosomal RNA, 377 nt
Filed under: uncultured eukaryote
Lineage: Eukaryota
Description: partial 18S ribosomal RNA
Rfam family: Eukaryotic small subunit ribosomal RNA
Source: RNAcentral
CAAUAGCGUAUAUUUAAGUUGCUGCAGUUAAAGAGCUCGUAGUUGGAUUUCGGGUGGGAAUGGCCGGUCCGCCGUUUCGGUGUGCACUUGCUACGCCCACCUUGCUGCCGGGGACGUGCUCUUGAGUUCACGCUCGGGACACGGAGUCGGCGAGGUUACUUUGAGUAAAUUAGAGUGUUCAAAGCAGGCCCACGCUCUGAAUACAUUAGCAUGGAAUAACACGAUAGGACUCUGGCCUAUCUUGUUGGUCUGUAGGACCGGAGUAAUGAUUAAGAGGGACAGUCGGGGGCAUUCGUAUUUCAUUGUCAGAGGUGAAAUUCUUGGAUUUAUGAAAGACGAACUACUGCGAAAGCAUUUGCCAAGGAUGUUUUCAUUAA